UACGGAGGGUGCAAGCGUUAAUCGGAAUUACUGGGCGUAAAGCGCGCGUAGGCGGUUUGAUAAGUCGAUUGUGAAAUCCCCGGGCUCAACCUGGGAAUUGCAGUCGAGACUGUCAGACUAGAGUGUGGGAGAGGGUGGUGGAAUUCCCGGUGUAGCGGUGAAAUGCGUAGAUAUCGGGAGGAACAUCAGUGGCGAAGGCGACCGCCUGGCCCAACACUGACGCUGAGGUGCGAAAGCGUGGGUAGGCAAACAGG
This 254-nucleotide ribosomal RNA is filed under the name uncultured bacterium. Its description in RNAcentral is "partial 16S ribosomal RNA". It matches the Rfam family "Bacterial small subunit ribosomal RNA", at positions 524 to 776 of the family's 1533-position model. The record is from RNAcentral.